This is a small nuclear RNA of Crocodylus porosus (Australian saltwater crocodile), 209 nucleotides long. Its record names the gene U2. It matches the Rfam family "U2 spliceosomal RNA". From Rfam's summary of the family: U2 is a small nuclear RNA (snRNA) component of the spliceosome (involved in pre-mRNA splicing). Complementary binding between U2 snRNA (in an area lying towards the 5' end but 3' to hairpin I) and the branchpoint sequence (BPS) of the intron results the bulging out of an unpaired adenosine, on the BPS, which initiates a nucleophilic attack at the intronic 5' splice site, thus starting the first of two transesterification reactions that mediate splicing. Lineage: Eukaryota; Metazoa; Chordata; Crocodylia; Crocodylidae. The record is from Ensembl.
AUCUCUGCCACACAUUUUCAGGGAUCAUUUCUGUAGUUGGUGUCCCUGCAUUCCGCUCAUGUGGGGCUUUUGGCCUGCUGAUAUGUCCUCCACAGGAGGUCUAUAUUGAGCAGAUUCUUUUUGGUGUUGGUUGGUGGAACCGGAGCGUGCUCCAUCCACUCCAUGCAUUGACCUGGUAUUACAGUGCUUCCAGGACCAGUGCAAAAAAA